This 123-nucleotide ribosomal RNA is filed under the name Ericameria nauseosa. Its description in RNAcentral is "partial 18S ribosomal RNA". It matches the Rfam family "Eukaryotic small subunit ribosomal RNA", at positions 1713 to 1831 of the family's 1831-position model. Lineage: Eukaryota; Viridiplantae; Streptophyta; Magnoliopsida; Asterales; Asteraceae. The record is from RNAcentral. RNAcentral also lists the same sequence under 1 other name.
GAUCGCGGCGACGUGGGCGGUUCGCCGCCUGCGACGUCGCGAGAAUUCCACUGAACCUUAUCAUUUAGAGGAAGGAGAAGUCGUAACAAGGUUUCCGUAGGUGAACCUGCGGAAGGAUCAUUG